UACAGAGGUCCCAAGCGUUGUUCGGAUUCACUGGGCGUAAAGGGUGCGUAGGUGGUGAGGUAAGUCGGAUGUGAAAUCUCCGAGCUCAACUCGGAAAUUGCAUUGGAAACUACCUUGCUUGAGGGUUGGAGGGGGGACUGGAAUGCUUGGUGUAGCAGUGAAAUGCGUAGAUAUCAAGCGGAACACCAGUGGCGAAGGCGAAUCUCUGGACAGUUACUGACACUGAGGCACGAAGGCCAGGGGAGCAAACGGG
This 253-nucleotide ribosomal RNA is filed under the name uncultured bacterium. Its description in RNAcentral is "partial 16S ribosomal RNA". It matches the Rfam family "Bacterial small subunit ribosomal RNA", at positions 524 to 776 of the family's 1533-position model. The record is from RNAcentral.